RNAcentral lists this unclassified non-coding RNA (323 nucleotides) under Hevea brasiliensis (rubber tree). Lineage: Eukaryota; Viridiplantae; Streptophyta; Magnoliopsida; Malpighiales; Euphorbiaceae. The record is from RNAcentral.
UCUCUCUCUCUCUCUCUUAUUUUUAUAAUCGUUUGUACAUUUGUAAUCGUUUAUUUUUGGGGAAUAGUGUUUUGUAAUUGUUGAUGAAGCUGCAAGCACAUAUAAUUCUGGCAUACUCAUGGUAUAAUCAUGGUUUACAGCAAGGAACAAGGAAGCAUCUUCCUUUACUUGUGUUUAGGUAACACUCUGUUUGCAGCUUCUCCUUUCUUUGCUUUACAACAAACACCCAGCCAUUGCUCAAUAUUUUGAUGCUGAAUCUCCAUGAAUACUCCUUUUCAACCCAACUUAAUAGGUUCAAACAUGUGAUCUUUCUUCAUUCUCUG